GCGCGAUUAGCUCAGCGGGAGAGCGCUUCCCUGACACGGAAGAGGUCACUGGUUCAAAUCCAGUAUCGCGCA
This 72-nucleotide transfer RNA is filed under the name Streptomyces oceani. RNAcentral's name for it is "Streptomyces sp. SCSIO 02100 tRNA". It matches the Rfam family "tRNA". Rfam says of the family: Transfer RNA (tRNA) molecules are approximately 80 nucleotides in length. The record is from Rfam by way of RNAcentral. RNAcentral also lists the same sequence under 1 other name. Lineage: Bacteria; Bacillati; Actinomycetota; Actinomycetes; Kitasatosporales; Streptomycetaceae.